RNAcentral lists this ribosomal RNA (6145 nucleotides) under Parasitella parasitica. RNAcentral describes it as "large subunit ribosomal RNA". Lineage: Eukaryota; Fungi; Mucoromycota; Mucoromycetes; Mucorales; Mucoraceae. The record is from RNAcentral.
UAUUACCAAGUUACUUAGGGUUUAGUAUUGCCUAGCUUAACAUAUUACUAUGCUUACACCUGCAACCUAUUAAAACUGUGAUCUACAGUUACCUUAAUAAAGAAUCGUGUCAAGAUAAGCUUCCCGCUUAAGACGCUAUCAGCGGUUAUCUUGUCCUAAUGUAGCCUUCCAGCCGUACAAUAAUUGUCCUUUAGGCAAUAAAUUAUAACUGGUAUACCAGAGAUUAGUCCACCGAGAUCCUCUCGUACAAUCGGCAGGUUCUUGUCCGAUUCUAAUUCCAUUAGUAGAUAGGAACCGUACUGUCUCACGACGUACUUACUAUUUUGUUAUCAUAGAAACAUUUAAUUUCUAUUUCCAUUUCUUACGAAAUGGUACAGACUAUGUCAUAAUAUAUUAUAAAUUAUAUUAAAUUUUGUUUAAAAUUUUACUAUAGUCAAAUUUUUUAUCUGUAACAUUUAAACCUACUCUAUAAUACAUACUAGGAUGUAAAUAAGGUAGAACUAAUUGUCGAGUUUUAUUUAAUUCAUCUUCAUGAAUUCGAAUAAUAAAUUGGUCUUUUCGGUCUAAAAAAACUUCAUUAUUUAGAUUCAAAUUAUUUUUAAUUGUAGCAGAUAAGUUUAAAACAUCAUCUUCUGUAAAAGCAUUUGUGUAAAUUCUAAUCAUAUUUCUUUCUUUAAGAAAAUUUCCGUCUCCCAUAAUUAAAUGAGCUAAAGAAACUUCUGUAAAAUCACUAGAUAUAUCUUUAGGAACAAUUUUUUUAUUGUUAUUAAGAUCAGGAUAAAACACAUUAUAAUAAUUAGAAAAAAACGGUGUUGAAAUAGUUUUAAAUCUAACAGUAGUAUGAAUCUUUUCUUCUAACUUAAUGGUUUUAAUAUUAACAUCUGUGUCGAUGAAAGGUUCAAAUAAAUUAUACAAGUGUAAAAUAUAAGGUAAACCCUUCUCUCCUAAGUUUACACUUAAUCGAGAUCCACCAGAUAAAGAAGGUUUUUCAAGACUUCCAUCAGAUAAUAAUACUCCUAUUAAAGUUUCAUUUAAAUAUGAUGGUAAAUUAUUUAAUCUAUAAUCUAUUUUGUAAGAAUCUAAUUUUAAUACUUUAUUUAAAUAUCUUUUAAGACUAUAGUUACUAAUUGUUGUAAAAUUUUUCAUUUUUUGUUUAAUACGGUAUCCCUUAGAUAAAAUUAAAUAAUAAACUAUUAAAAAAUAAAAUUAUUUUUUUAAUAUCAAUAGUUAUAAUUUAUAAAAUAUUCCGGGCGCUCGUGGAAGGAUUAUUGUUGGCAUAACUCACCUUCUAGUCGUUGAACGUUUACUUUCCAAAUGAUAAAUCAUUCUGCCGAAAAGCACUUCGCUGCAAAUUGUCCAAUUGGUUAAAUUGGAUGUUCUUGCAAUUCACCCGGUUUUCAAAUAAUUUGAUUAAUAUUAUAUAAACUAUUUGGGGCUAGUUUAUUUAACCCAACUCACGUACCACUUUACUCGGCGAACAGCCGAACCCUUGGGAGCGCCUACACCCCCAGGAUGUGAUGAGUCGACAUCGCUAAUUUAAUGUUACCCAAUACACCUCCAAUAUCAAUUAGUUAUUAACCCCUAACCCUCCCAAUUAAUCUAAUGAUUAAUUCACUAUUUAUUGAGUAUGGUGGUUAUUUUUUAUUAGGUAAUUUAUACGUCAUAGAAGGGAUUACAUGAGGUUUAACUAAAUCAUAGAAUUUAUCAUAUGACUUAGUUGAGAUAUUAAUUCUCCAACCUUUACUAUCCUUAUUGGCAACUCCAAUAAUACCAAAUUUGGUAUUUAAGAUAGAGAUUAGUAAAUCCACUUCGUCUCUUGUGAAACUUUCAGAACAAAAUCUAACUCCUGCUACUUUAUCUCCCCAUUUUCUUGAUCCGUCAUCCAUAAACCAAUAUGCUAAAGAUUUAUCAGUUAUCCAAUCUCCAAUUUGAGGUGGAAUCACUUUAGAUCUUCUGUUAUUAAGAUUAAGAGGAUAGAAUGCAUUACCCAACUCUGCGAAUUGGGCAAAUGUUAAAGUAUUAAAGUACCAUUUAUUAUAGACUUUACCGUCCUUAGUAGUUUCAUUAUUAGUUCCUAGAUUCAUAUCCGUCCAUGGAUCUAAUAAUGUUCUUAAAUGUUGAAUGUAUUCAAGAUGGUUAUUACCUCCUUGAACAAUUCUUAAUCUUCAUGUUUUACCAUGUUGAGUUAAUGUUUGUAGAUUGGCAUCACCUAGUAAUAAUCCUACGAUGAUUCCUCUCAUACCAUUAGUUAGUACUAAUGAUUCUUUAUACAAUUUUAACUUUUUAUUCAUGCUGUUAAUAAUUUAUAGGGCCGAGUCAUUAGUAUCUCCCUUGCGACUAUUUAAUAAUGUGGUUGAUUGAUGGAAUAAAUUACUUAAAUCAAAAGUUGACAUAAGAUUUAUUCCUUCUUAUAAAUUAUUUGACAUAAAGAUUAAUAACACAAAACGUAUAAAUUAUCAUAUUACUUUACCAGGUUAAUAUUGAUAAUGGUGUAUUGAGGGAAUAUUGUUAUAUCCCUCAAUUAUUCUCAUAAUUGUUCAGAUCAUAUCUUUAUCCGUGGGCCCGACGGGCGGGCCCAUGUCCCUUGUGGCCUGGGGUUGCCCCCGGCGGGACUAAUUUCAUUUAAGUCCUUGAAUAUUAGGAUAUUGGCGUGUGAUCGUUGAGGAUCCCAAAUAAUCUAUUUGGUUCCCUGCUGAUUGUCUAUUGUUACAUCUCUAAGAUUGUCACCAUUGUAGGUACUUAGAGUUUUAAGAUAUUCCAGCAUACAGCCAAAGUCUAUCUCAGUGUUACCACCGAGACUCCCCGAUGUUUUUUUUGAGGUGCCAAACCAAUCUGUCAAUAUGGACUCUCGAGAUUGAUCAGCCUGUUAUCCCUAGCGUAGCUUUUAUUCGUUGAGCGAUGGCCAUUCCAUAAUGGACCACCGGAUCACUAUGACCUACUUGCGUAUCUGUAUGACUUGUCAGUCUUACAGUUAAGCCGGCUUAUGCCAUUACACUUAAUUAGGCUAUCUUUAGCCCAUUGGUUUCCAUCCAAUUUAAGCCGACCUUUGUACUUCUCCGGUACUAUAUGGGAGAAAUCCGCCCCAGAUAAACUGCCCAUUAAUCACUGUCCGGAAUAAUUCCGUAUAGCGUGCUCCUAAUCAAGUCAAGGUAUUUCACUGAUGUCUAAUCGACUCCCUUGUAUUCUACACCUUAAUUAUAAGCACACAAUGACUAACUACAGUAAAGCUGCAUAGGGUCUUCCCGUCUAGCUAAUGGUAAUCCGCAUCUGCACGGAUAAUUCAAUUUCACUGAGCUCAUCUUGGAGACAGUAAGAGUAUCGUUAAACCAUUCAUGCGCGACCAUAAUUAGUGGCCAAGGUAUUUCGCUCAAAUUCCACGCAAUAAAUGUCGGAUAAACAACGGAGCCCCACUCAAUUAAGAAUAAGGCCGUUGUUAUCCUGGGUCCACAUCUUUCAAUGUGGCUUGGACUAUAUCAUGAUCUGUUUAAUUUCUAUUUCGAUUCAUUCUAGUUUGAAUAGUUCUAAUCUUAUCUAACCCUUCUUGAGUUAAAUGAAGUUUAUCAUCUAACAUUGAAUGAACCAAUUUAAAAUCUAAAUAAUCUAAAGACUUAAUAGUUAGUGGUGGAUAAAUAUCAAAAAAUGGAUAUAAUUUAGUUCUUAAAUCAUUUCUAUUUCUAAUACGAAAUUGUAAAUGGUUAGAUGUAGUCUGUGUGACAUAACCACAUCCAAAAAACUUAAUUAAUUUCAUCAUUAAUUCUUUAUCUCGAAUGUGUUGUGAAAUAGUAAAUUCUAAUGUUACUUGAUAUCCUAAUGAAGUGUUAUUAUUUUUUGAUACACUUACAUGAAAACAUCCUUCACCAUCCACAAAACCUAAUACCCAAUGUGGGUUAAGAAUUUUAGAAUCAUAUAAUUUAUUUGUAUACAUAAUUAUAAUUUAUAGGGCCGAGUCAUUAGUAUCUCCCUUGCGACUAUUUAAUAAUAUGGUUUAAUGUAAGGUAAGAUAUACCUUACUUAUAUGAUUAAGAUUACUUAUUGUAAACAGAUCCCCAACGUGUAGUCUCUGAGGGGUCAACAACGACUUCCCUGCUGAUUGUCCAAUUCUUUAAAUUGUCACUGUAAUCAAUGAUCACUAGUAUUAAAGACUCUAAGGAUUUUCCAGCAUAUAGUUAGGUUCAAGACAUAAUCACUUAUGUCAGGGGCAGCGAAUAAUUAUUCUUCUCCUUUAAUUGGAGCUACCUGAGGAUCGUUAUAGUUACAACCGCUGUUUACUGGAGGUUCAAUCAGCACCGUAUUAGUGCCUCUCUUGACUUACCAGCACUGAGCAGGUAUCAGUCUUUAUACAUCUAGUUUCCUAUUAGCAAAGACCGGUGUUUUAAGUAAACAGUCGUACUCUUCUAUUCUGUGCCACGAUCAUAAAAAUCGUACUCCUUCUCCCGAAGUUACGGAGUCAUUUUGCCGAGUUCCUUCAAGAUGAUUCGCUCAACGCCUUGGUAUAUUCUACCAGCAGACCAGUGUCGGUUUAGGGUACGGUUAAAUAAUUAGAUCAUUUCCUGAAUUUUAAACUAAUACUACACCAUUACUGAUAUAGAUUAAUAUUAAAACUGUUAUCUAAAUUAGUUUUUCUCAUCGAUUACUCCUAUCGGAGUUCACUCAUAUAGAGCCCGGCCGGGUUUCCCCGACCUGACUUGGGCGCCGAGGCGCCCUCGCUUUAAAAAUCUUAGAGGCCGUUACUUUACUCAUGGAGGUUGAGCCUAGCCAUGAAACCCUUCUGCUUUCGGCGAGUGGGAUUUUAUCCACUUUUACGUUACUCAUGUCAGCAUUCUCUCCUCAGUUAUGUCCAGAUAAGGAAACCCUAUCCUUCAACCAUGUCCUGAGUGUUCCGCUACCCUCCUACAUUCUUUAUAAUGUUGGGACAAGAUCUCGGUAUACUACUUAGACCCGAUACAUUGUCGGUGCCCUUGAAACCCCGGCCGGCGCGUAGCGCCGUCCGCUAAACUAUCUCCAAAGGAGAAGUUCUUAUAAAUACAGACCAUUGAGCUAUUACGCUUUCAUUAACGGAUGGCUGCUUCCAAGCCCACCGAAUGGUUGUGUAAUUUCAUGGACUACCUUAAUUUCACUUAGUAGUAUUUAGGGACCUUAAUUCUUGUUCUGGGCUGUUUCCCUCUCGACUAAAGACCUUAGCACCUAUAGUCUGACCGUCCUUUAUUAACUGUAAACCAUUCCGAGGUUAGAUUCCCAAACAAUAAAUGUUUGGGAAUCGGUUAAAUAACCGAUUCUAUUGAUAGAGCCAUCACGACCCCCCAAUCAAGUCCACAAGGGACAUAGUAUCCAGUGCUGUACCAGUUUACAGAUACGAAGGACAACAUACCAAAAUAUGUUUCGCGGAAUACCAGCUAUCUCCAGGUUAGAUUGGCCUUUCGCCACUUACCACAACUCAUCCAAGCCUAUUGCCACAGGCACUGGUUCGGUCCUUAAUGACCUGGUCAUGGUAAGAUCACCUGGUUUCGGGUCUAAUCCAUGGUACUUACCCAUUUAACGUAGUCGCUUUCGCUAAGUAUUUCUACUUGCACCACAGAUUAACUCGCUGACCCAUUAUGCAAAAGGUACGCAGUUAUCUUGUAUUUAAACUCAGAUUCCUGCUGCUUAUAGAACUACCGGUUCAGGAUCUUUUCACCAGUUACCUACUUACUUUUCAACUUUCCCUCACGGUACUCUUCACUAUCGCUCAAUACAUCAUAUUUAGCCUUAGAGGAUGGUUCCCCUAUAUUCAGACAAGUUAUCUCUCAUCUUACUUACUAUUUUUCUAGUUUAUCUUAUUACGGGACUUUCACCCUCUAUGGUUUGUCAUUCCAAACAAAUUAUAAGCUAAUCUAAAUUCUUCUAAAGAAGAACUUACCCAAUGGAAUAAAUCCAUUAGGCUAGAAAAUAGGCUAACCCGCUUUCGCUCACCACUACUAACGGGAUCUCGGUUGAUUUCUUUUCCUUCUACUACUUAGAUGUUUCAGUUCGUAGAGUUAUUAUUAUAUUGGUUUCCCUUAGGAUCAUCGUAAUUAUCAAAUCAUUCAUUACGAUUUUUGGUAUAAACUACCUCCUUUGGAUGUAUUGGCUAGUCAUCCCCGAUAGUCCCUUUUUCAUCUUGGUAAUA